GCAUCCCUGCUCCUCCCUGCCCUCCUGCUCCACGCCGCCCUGGCCUUCCCUGUCCAGGAGAACUAUGAAAACAGCACAACAACAACAGAACCUACUGAGGU
Long non-coding RNA from Ficedula albicollis (Collared flycatcher), 101 nucleotides. RefSeq lists it as uncharacterized. The record is from RefSeq and is a predicted model, not a curated record. The transcript is spliced from 3 exons. NCBI's taxonomy places the organism in Eukaryota, Metazoa, Chordata, Aves, Passeriformes, Muscicapidae.